This 363-nucleotide ribosomal RNA is filed under the name Salmonella enterica subsp. enterica serovar Mississippi. RNAcentral describes it as "bacterial LSU rRNA". It matches the Rfam family "Bacterial large subunit ribosomal RNA", at positions 455 to 718 of the family's 2925-position model. Lineage: Bacteria; Pseudomonadati; Pseudomonadota; Gammaproteobacteria; Enterobacterales; Enterobacteriaceae. The record is from RNAcentral.
AUCCUCCAAGGCUAAAUACUCCUGACUGACCGAUAGUGAACCAGUACCGUGAGGGAAAGGCGAAAAGAACCCCGGCGAGGGGAGUGAAAAAGAACCUGAAACCGUGUACGUACAAGCAGUGGGAGCCCCACCACCAAAGCAUUCUCUGGUGUUGAAGGCCCUGCAAAGCAGCAUCGCGGUGGCGGAGCGUCGUUUGCGACGCCCAACACACAAAACAAGCGGUGAGUGCUUUGGGGUGGGGUGACUGCGUACCUUUUGUAUAAUGGGUCAGCGACUUAUAUUCUGUAGCAAGGUUAACCGUAUAGGGGAGCCGGAGGGAAACCGAGUCUUAAUUGGGCGUUAAGUUGCAGGGUAUAGACCCGA